ACGUAGGGUGCGAGCGUUAAUCGGAAUUACUGGGCGUAAAGCGUGCGCAGGCGGUUUGUUAAGUCUGAUGUGAAAGCCCCGGGCUCAACCUGGGAAUGGCAUUGGAAACUGGCAAGCUAGAGUGUGGCAGAGGGGGGUGGAAUUCCGCGUGUAGCAGUGAAAUGCGUAGAGAUGCGGAGGAACACCGAUGGCGAAGGCAGCCCCCUGGGCCAACACUGACGCUCAGGCACGAAAGCGUGGGGAGCAAACAGGAUUAGAUACCCUGGUAGUCCACGCCCUAAACGAUGUCAACUGGGUGUUGGGGAAGCGAUUCCUUGGUACCGUAGCUAACGCGUGAAGUUGACCGCCUGGGGAGUACGGCCGCAAGGUUA
This 371-nucleotide ribosomal RNA is filed under the name uncultured bacterium. RNAcentral describes it as "bacterial SSU rRNA". It matches the Rfam family "Bacterial small subunit ribosomal RNA", at positions 525 to 896 of the family's 1533-position model. The record is from RNAcentral.